GACGAACGCUGGCGGCGUGCUUAACACAUGCAAGUCGAACGGAAAGGCCCUGCCUUUGUGGGGUGCUCGAGUGGCGAACGGGUGAGUAACACGUGAGUAACCUGCCCUUGACUUUGGGAUAACUUCAGGAAACUGGGGCUAAUACCGGAUAGGAGCUCCUGCUGCAUGGUGGGGGUUGGAAAGUUUCGGCGGUUGGGGAUGGACUCGCGGCUUAUCAGCUUGUUGGUGGGGUAGUGGCUUACCAAGGCUUUGACGGGUAGCCGGCCUGAGAGGGUGACCGGCCACAUUGGGACUGAGAUACGGCCCAGACUCCUACGGGAGGCAGCAGUGGGGAAUAUUGCACAAUGGGCGGAAGCCUGAUGCAGCAACGCCGCGUGCGGGAUGACGGCCUUCGGGUUGUAAACCGCUUUCGCCUGUGACGAAGCGUGAGUGACGGUAAUGGGUAAAGAAGCACCGGCUAACUACGUG
RNAcentral lists this ribosomal RNA (468 nucleotides) under uncultured bacterium. RNAcentral's name for it is "partial 16S ribosomal RNA". It matches the Rfam family "Bacterial small subunit ribosomal RNA", at positions 28 to 507 of the family's 1533-position model. The record is from RNAcentral.